GACGAACGCUGGCGGCGUGCUUAACACAUGCAAGUCGAACGGAAAGGCCCUGCUUGCAGGGUACUCGAGUGGCGAACGGGUGAGUAACACGUGGGUGAUCUGCCCUGCACUUCGGGAUAAGCCUGGGAAACUGGGUCUAAUACCGGAUAGGAGCCAUUUUUAGUGUGAUGGUUGGAAAGUUUUUUCGGUGUAGGAUGAGCUCGCGGCCUAUCAGCUUGUUGGUGGGGUAAUGGCCUACCAAGGCGGCGACGGGUAGCCGGCCUGAGAGGGUGGACGGCCACAUUGGGACUUAGUUGCGGCCCAGACUCCUACGGGAGGCAGCAGUGGGGAAUAUUGCACAAUGGGCGCAAGCCUGAUGCAGCGACGCCGCGUGGGGGAUGACGGCCUUCGGGUUGUAAACUCCUUUCGCUAGGGACGAAGCUUUUUGUGACGGUACCUAGAUAAGAAGCACCGGCUAACUACGUG
Molecule: ribosomal RNA, 465 nt
Filed under: uncultured bacterium
Lineage: Bacteria
Description: partial 16S ribosomal RNA
Rfam family: Bacterial small subunit ribosomal RNA
Source: RNAcentral